AAGUCCCGUAACGAGCGCAACCCUUGUCCUUAGUUACCAGCACGUUAUGGUGGGCACUCUAAGGAGACUGGCGGUGACAAACCGGAGGAAGGGGGGGAUGACGUCAAGUCAUCAUGGCCCUUACGGGCUGGGCUACACACGUGCUACAAUGGUCGGUACAGAGGGUUGCCAAGCCGCGAGGGGGAGCUAAUCCCAUAAAACCGAUCGUAGUCCGGAUCGCAGUCUGCAACUCGACUGGGUGAAGUCGGAAUCGCUAGUAAUCGCGAAUCAGAAUGUCGCGGUGAAUACG
Molecule: ribosomal RNA, 289 nt
Filed under: Pseudomonas sp. BC1_TSA1B2
Lineage: Bacteria; Pseudomonadati; Pseudomonadota; Gammaproteobacteria; Pseudomonadales; Pseudomonadaceae
Description: partial 16S ribosomal RNA
Rfam family: Bacterial small subunit ribosomal RNA
Source: RNAcentral